AGUGAACGCUGGCGGUAGGCCUAACACAUGCAAGUCGAACGGACGCACCGUAGGUGCUUGCUCUCACGGGUGGCGAGUGGCGGACGGGUGCUGUAUACAUCGGACUCUACCUUUUCGCGGGGGCUAAUGCAGGAAAACUUACGCUAAUACCGCAUACGACCUACGGGUUAAAGCAGCGGAUCUUCGGACCUUGCGCGAUUGAAUGAGCCGCUGUGGGAUUAGCUAGUUGCUGGGGUAAGGGCCCACCCAGGCAACGAUAGGUAGCCGGCCUGAGAGGAAGAGGAGGCAGACUUGAACUGAGACACGGUCCCGACUCCUACGGGAGGCAGCAGUGGGUACUACUGGACGAAGCGGGCAAGACUGAUCCAGCAAUACCGCGAGGGUGACGAAGGCCUUCCGGUUGUAGAAACCUUUUUUUGGGAAAGAAAAGCAGUAUGUUAAUACCCCGAUGUUCUGACGGUACCUAAAGAAUAAGCACCGGCUAACUUCGUG
RNAcentral lists this ribosomal RNA (492 nucleotides) under uncultured bacterium. RNAcentral's name for it is "partial 16S ribosomal RNA". It matches the Rfam family "Bacterial small subunit ribosomal RNA", at positions 29 to 507 of the family's 1533-position model. The record is from RNAcentral.